GGGAAAUGGAAUGUGGGGCCAGGCCCAGGCCCUGACACAAAAUGGGUCA
Molecule: non-coding RNA, 49 nt
Organism: Otolemur garnettii (small-eared galago)
Lineage: Eukaryota; Metazoa; Chordata; Mammalia; Primates; Galagidae
Source: Rfam